Molecule: ribosomal RNA, 616 nt
Filed under: Nostoc sp. 26-SKD-2014
Lineage: Bacteria; Bacillati; Cyanobacteriota; Cyanophyceae; Nostocales; Nostocaceae
Description: bacterial SSU rRNA
Rfam family: Bacterial small subunit ribosomal RNA
Source: RNAcentral
UAAUCUAGCUCUAGGUCGGGGACAACCACUGGAAACUGUGGCUAAUACCGGAUAAGCCGUGAGGUAAAAGAUUUAUUGCCUAGAGAUGAGCUCGCGUCUGAUUAGCUAGUUGCUGUGGUAAGAGCGCACCAAGGCGACGAUCAGUAGCUGGUCUGAGAGGAUGAUCAGCCACGCUGGGACUGAGACACGGCCCAGACUCCUACGGGAGGCAGCAGUGGGGAAUUUUCCGCAAUGGGCGAAAGCCUGACGGACCAAUACCGCGUGAGGGAGGAAGGCUCUUGGGUUGUAAACCUCUUUUCUCAAGGAAUAAGAAAGUGAAGGUACUUGAGGAAUAAGCAUCGGCUAACUCCGUGCCAGCAGCCGCGGAAAUACGGAGGAUGCAAGCGUUAUCCGGAAUGAUUGGGCGUAAAGGGUCCGCAGGUGGCAUUGAAAGUCUGCUGUUAAAGAGUGAGGCUUAACCUCAUAAAAGCAGUGGAAACUACAAAGCUAGAGUGCGUUCGGGGUAACAGGAAUUCCUGGUGUAGCGGUGAAAUGCGUAGAGAUCAGGAAGAACACCGUUGGCGAAAGCGUGCUACUAGGCCGUAACUGACACUGAAGGACGAAAGCUAAGGGAGCG